UCAGACGAUGCGUCAUGCAUAUCAAUAAGCGGAGGAAAAGAAACUAACAAGGAUUCCCCUAGUAACGGCGAGUGAAGCGGGAAGAGCUCAAAUUUGAAAUCUUAAAUGGGUUUCCCUUUACGAAUUGUAGUUUAAAGAAGUGUUUUCUGUUGAGGUUUUGGUAAAAGUUCUUUGGAAUAGGACAUCAUAGAGGGUGAGAAUCCCGUAUUUGACCUUUACUUUCAACUUUGUGAUACACUUUCAAAGAGUCGGAUUGUUUGGGAAUGCAGUCCAAAAUGGGUGGUAAAUUUCAUCUAAAGCUAAAUAUUGGCGAGAGACCGAUAGCGAACAAGUACCGUGAGGGAAAGAUGAAAAGAACUUUGAAAAGAGAGUUAAACAGUACGUGAAAUUGUCAAAAGGGAAGCGUUUGACACCAGUGUUGUUUUUCUGAAAAUCAAUUAAAGAACUGUUUAUGCUAAGCUGUUUAGACUUUAUCAGCUAUCUGUUUAGUUUUGAGCUUUUCUUUAAUGCACUUUUCAGUUAACAAGUCAACAUCAAUUUCUUUUGCUGUAAAAAAGCUUGAGGAAGGUGGCUUGAGAUUCGUCUUAAGUGUUUAUAGCCUCUUGCCUAUGCAGUCGGAGAGAUUGAGGUCUGCAGCGUAGAUCCUUCGGGGCUAAAUGCAUUUGUGCUAAGUUAUAGCAUUUUAUAGACAACUUGUUGACUAUGAUUUGUCUUGUAGCUUACUCGCUUAUGUUAUUUUACCUACGCUUAGGAUGUUGACACACGCGCGUGCUCG
Molecule: ribosomal RNA, 775 nt
Filed under: uncultured Neocallimastigales
Lineage: Eukaryota; Fungi; Neocallimastigomycota; Neocallimastigomycetes; Neocallimastigales
Description: partial large subunit ribosomal RNA
Rfam family: Eukaryotic large subunit ribosomal RNA
Source: RNAcentral